UCAGUCGUUUUCAAAAUAUUG
This 21-nucleotide non-coding RNA is filed under the name Caenorhabditis elegans. The record is from RNAcentral. Lineage: Eukaryota; Metazoa; Nematoda; Chromadorea; Rhabditida; Rhabditidae.